UUCAGAACCAGUCUUGGACAACAUUAUGAGCUUGGCAGGAUUCCGGUGUCUAGCCCUUCAUAUGCCCCCUUCAAAUCUGCAUGAUGAGUUCCAUUGAUCUCUGGAUUUUCUUUAGGAUAGAUGCAUGAAUCCUGGUUGACUCACAUGGGAGUCCAUGCAUCAAGAAGGAUGCUUCCACUAAUCUUACAUGGAUCCCCAGAGCCAAUGCCACAUAGGCAGAAAAGGACCUUCCUCACUCUGCCAUGGCUCGCACUCACCUGACAUUUCCAGUAAAUACAAGUUUUGAGUAUCAUCAUCCUAUCACUCACCCUGGAAAAAGCAACAAUGCAGGAAGUCUCUAAGUGUGUGCAGCAUCAUACAUCAUGUAUGCCAAGCUCUAGAUGGAAAUAAACUGUAAACUAUACACAGUGCAAUAAGUUGGGAAGAGGCAGAAAAUUUGCUGUGUGUCCUUUGAGCCAUGUGAAAAGAUGAGGGAAACUCAAAUGAUUGAUGACUACCAGCCUUUCUUGUGGAUUGUAUUUGGGACUCCUCACCUAAUACACCCCAUCAUGAAGAAUCCAUGGACUGGGGAGAAUUUAAAAUGACUGGAAGCCUUCUUGUGGACAUCCAAGAUUACUUCUGCCUAUGAAAAUGAGGAACCCAAAACUGAAGUGAAAGGGAAUGAAGGAUUUGGGGAGAGGACUGUCCUUUCAUGCACCCACCCUUUCCAAAAGGAGAGUAUGCACAUUUCAAUUUUGAGAUUUAUUUCUAUUGACUAGGUUCUCUGUUAUGGCGAAUUUAUGAGUUUUUCAACAUGUAAUACAUGUCUUAAAGUUGCACUAUUAUUUUUUAACCACCAUUAGUUUAAAAACCAAAUAAAAGCUUUGCUCUAUGAUAGACCAUAUUAUUUCUCAGAAUAAAGAAAUGUAAAAGCAAAUCAUAGAGCAAGAUUUAGAGCCCUAGGGGUAACAUUUUACAGUUUCUUUUGA
Molecule: long non-coding RNA, 968 nt
Organism: Talpa occidentalis (Iberian mole)
Lineage: Eukaryota; Metazoa; Chordata; Mammalia; Eulipotyphla; Talpidae
Exons: 5
Source: RefSeq, a predicted model, not a curated record